AGGAUUAACGCUGGCGGCGUGCCUGACACAUGCAAGUCGAACGAGGCCGCAAGGCCGAGUGGCGGACGGGUGAGUAACACGUGACCAACCAACCUCGAAGUUGGGAAUAGCUCUGCGAAAGUAGGGGUAAUACCGAAUGUGGCCCAGGGCGGGCAUCCGCCUUGGUCUAAAGAUUCAUCGCUUCGAGACGGGGUCGCGGCCUAUUAGCUUGUUGGUGAGGUAACGGCUCACCAAGGCGAUGAUGGGUAGCUGGUCUGAGAGGACGACCAGCCACACUGGGACUGAGACACGGCCCAGACUCCUACGGGAGGCAGCAGUGAGGAAUCUUCCGCAAUGGGCGAAAGCCUGACGGAGCAACGCCGCGUGUGGGAUGGAAGACUCUAGGGUUGUAAACCACUGUCGGAGGGGACGAUCGUGACGGUACCCUCCAAGAAAGCCCCGGACUAACUACGCGCCAGCAGCCGC
Molecule: ribosomal RNA, 465 nt
Filed under: uncultured bacterium
Lineage: Bacteria
Description: SSU rRNA
Rfam family: Bacterial small subunit ribosomal RNA
Source: RNAcentral